CUCGCUAGGAAACUCGUGUAUUUCGUAACAAUCGAGAGAAUACGUAUCAAGAUUAGCAACCAUGAGCUGCGACUUUAAAUGCUUUUUCUCAGCAAGCAAUUGGGAUUUGUUGCGUGAAACGUCUUCUAGCAUAUAUAACAAUGUCGCGGAAAUAAAAUCAUCAUCAGAAAACGAUACAUAUGAAUUCGGGGGGGCAGCUUGCAAGUCAAAAGAAGGAUGUAAGGCUUUCAAAAAUCCCACCUGCGAAGGAGACGGAGGAACGGUGGAAGUAGUUGCCUCAGAUUCCUGUUUAGCAUUCGUUUCCAAAAGAUCCACAUGGAGCAUACCUCCUGGUCCUACAGUUGACCUUGGUAAAUAUUUCAUAUUCUCAGCGCUUUCCAAAUAUUCAUCGAUAUUUUCUAUAUCCAAAAAACUACUCGCUGCACUUUCCGAAACACCCGAGGGUGAACUAUACUGCAUUGGUUGUCUUAAAAAAGAACCAGAAGUUGGAUUAAGCGGAUCCGUCUCAUUAUUUUGGUAACUACUACGCAUAAAUUUUAAUCGCCAGCUGCUACUCAAAUAAUUUCGUAAUGACGUUUUCCUAGGAGAAUCAGCAAACGAUGGUUUCUCUGAAUGAAUAUCUAUAGCUUUGCAAGAAUCAUUUAUCUUCAUAUCAUAGGAAGGUACUCGUAAAGAGCCAGAGACAGAAGGACAACCAAAUGAAGUAGAAAGACUAGAUGAUGAGAGUAUUCCAGAGUUGGGAUAUAAUUGAAUAGGAUUAAGAAGCGUAUCGGAACAUUGCGCAAUUGACGGUCGCAUUAAUGGAGCUAGUAGAUAUAAAAAACGUCGAGCUAUUGGUGCUUUGCUAG
Molecule: non-coding RNA, 848 nt
Organism: Schizosaccharomyces pombe (fission yeast)
Lineage: Eukaryota; Fungi; Ascomycota; Schizosaccharomycetes; Schizosaccharomycetales; Schizosaccharomycetaceae
Source: the annotation of a GenBank genome assembly